GCCGGGUGCAGUGGCGCGCGCCUGUAAUCCAAGCUACUGUGAGGCUGAGGCUGGCGGAUCGCUUGAGUUCAGGGGUUCUGGGCUGCAGUGGACUAUGUCGAUCGGGUGUCCGCGCUAAGUUCGGUAUCGAUAUGGUGCUCCUGGGGGAGCUCGGGACCACCAGGUCGUCUAAGGAGGGGUGAACCGGCCCAGGUCGGAGACGGAGCAGGUCAAAGCCCCCGUGCCGAUCAGUAGUUGGGUCGCGCCUGUGAAUAGACACUGCAGUGCAGCCUGAGCGAUACAGCGAGACUCAGACUUUU
Cyprinus carpio carpio is the source of this 299-nucleotide unclassified non-coding RNA. It matches the Rfam family "Metazoan signal recognition particle RNA". Rfam says of the family: The signal recognition particle (SRP) is a universally conserved ribonucleoprotein. It is involved in the co-translational targeting of proteins to membranes. The record is from Ensembl. Lineage: Eukaryota; Metazoa; Chordata; Actinopteri; Cypriniformes; Cyprinidae.